GACGAACGCUGGCGGCGUGCCUAAUACAUGCAAGUCGAGCGAAGUUUUUCUGGUGCUUGCACUAGAAAAACUUAGCGGCGAACGGGUGAGUAACACGUAAAGAACCUGCCUCAUAGACUGGGACAACUAUUGGAAACGAUAGCUAAUACCGGAUAACAGUAUUUCUCGCAUGAGAAAUAUUUAAAAGUUGGUUAUGCUAACACUAUGAGAUGGCUUUGCGGUGCAUUAGCUAGUUGGUGGGGUAAGGGCCCACCAAGGCGACGAUGCAUAGCCGACCUGAGAGGGUGAUCGGCCACACUGGGACUGAGACACGGCCCAGACUCCUACGGGAGGCAGCAGUAGGGAAUCUUCCGCAAUGGGCGAAAGCCUGACGGAGCAACGCCGCGUGAGUGAAGAAGGAUUUCGGUUCGUAAAGCUCUGUUGUUAGGGAAGAAUGGAUAUGUAGUAACUAUACAUGUAAGAGACGGUACCUAACCAGAAAGCCACGGCUAACUACGUG
Molecule: ribosomal RNA, 499 nt
Filed under: uncultured bacterium
Lineage: Bacteria
Description: partial 16S ribosomal RNA
Rfam family: Bacterial small subunit ribosomal RNA
Source: RNAcentral